GAUGAACGCUGGCGGCGUGCCUAAUACAUGCAAGUCGAGCGAACGGACGAGAAGCUUGCUUCUGUGAUGUUAGCGGCGGACGGGUGAGUAACACGUGGAUAACCUACCUAUAAGACUGGGAUAACUUCGGGAAACCGUAGCUAAUACCGGAUAAUAUUUUGAACCGCAUGGUUCAAAAGUGAAAGACGGUCUUGCUGUCACUUAUAGAUGGAUCCGCGCUGCAUUAGCUAGUUGGUAAGGUAACGGCUUACCAAGGCAACGAUGCAUAGCCGACCUGAGAGGGUGAUCGGCCACACUGGAACUGAGACACGGUCCAGACUCCUACGGGAGGCAGCAGUAGGGAAUCUUCCGCAAUGGGCGAAAGCCUGACGGAGCAACGCCGCGUGAGUGAUGAAGGUCUUCGGAUCGUAAAACUCUGUUAUUAGGGAAGAACAUAUGUGUAAGUAACUGUGCACAUCUUGACGGUACCUAAUCAGAAAGCCACGGCUAACUACGUG
Molecule: ribosomal RNA, 497 nt
Filed under: uncultured bacterium
Lineage: Bacteria
Description: partial 16S ribosomal RNA
Rfam family: Bacterial small subunit ribosomal RNA
Source: RNAcentral